RNAcentral lists this long non-coding RNA (433 nucleotides) under Elaeis guineensis (African oil palm). RNAcentral describes it as "long non-coding RNA (EGUI_LNC076653)". Lineage: Eukaryota; Viridiplantae; Streptophyta; Magnoliopsida; Arecales; Arecaceae. The record is from RNAcentral.
GCUAUGAGAAAUUAACUAGCCACUCCAAUUAGGUUUGGCAUUGGGUCGGGUCGGGUAUGGGUUUGGGUCGAUCCGAAUCCAACCCAAUAUCCCAACAUUUGGAUCCGAACCCGACCUAUGAUCCAACGAGUCAACACUUUCUUUAUCCGCAUCCUAUCCGAUUGGAUAUCAAUUAUCUGAUCAGAUACCCACUCCACCUAAAUAAGAUUUUCUACAUGAAAAUAAAAGCAUUGAAUAAUAGCCCACUACCACUUUUUAACUCUUGAGGCUUUAACCAAGUUUAAAGGAUAUAAGGCCCAUAUUUUAUAGAACCAGUCCACAUUUGAACAAUAUAUAUACAUAAAAUCAGAUCAGAUUCGGAUCGGAUAGUAAAUCGGGGAGGCCACAACCCAAACUUGAUCCAACCUAAGAUAUAAAUUUAUUAGAUUCGAUC